This 257-nucleotide ribosomal RNA is filed under the name uncultured bacterium. Its description in RNAcentral is "partial 16S ribosomal RNA". It matches the Rfam family "Bacterial small subunit ribosomal RNA", at positions 524 to 776 of the family's 1533-position model. The record is from RNAcentral.
UACGGAGGGGGCUAGCGUUGUUCGGAAUUACUGGGCGUAAAGCGCACGUAGGCGGCUUUGCAAGUUAAGAGGUGAAAGCCCCGGGGCUCAACUCCGGAAAUUGCCUUUAAAACUGCAUCGCUAGAAUUGUGGAGAGGUAAGUGGAAUUCCGAGUGUAGAGGUGAAAUUCGUAGAUAUUCGGAAGAACAUCAGUGGCGAAGGCGGCUUCCUGGACCGACCACUGACGCUGAGGCGCGAAAGCUAGGGGAGCAAACGGG